This 700-nucleotide ribosomal RNA is filed under the name uncultured bacterium. Its description in RNAcentral is "bacterial SSU rRNA". It matches the Rfam family "Bacterial small subunit ribosomal RNA", at positions 81 to 780 of the family's 1533-position model. The record is from RNAcentral.
GGGGUAGCAAUACACCGGCGGACGGGUGCGUAACGCGUACACAACGUACCUCAAAGCGGGGGAUAGCAUUGGGAAACUGGUGGUAACCCCCCAUAGUGUUGUUUGAUGGCAUCAUUGGACAACUAAAGUUUACACUUUGAGAUCGGUGUGCGUCUGAUUAGCUAGUUGGAGGGGUAACGGCCCACCAAGGCGACGAUCAGUAGGGGGUGUGAGAGCAUGACCCCCCACAUGGGUACUGAGACACGGACCCAACUCCUACGGGAGGCAGCAGUAAGGAAUAUUGGACAAUGGGCGCAAGCCUGAUCCAGCCAUGCCGCGUGAAGGAUGAAGGCGCUCAGCGUUGUAAACUUCUUUUGGACGGGAACAAUACCCCCGACUUGUCGGGGCUUGAGGGUACCGUCAGAAUAAGCACCGGCUAACUCCGUGCCAGCAGCCGCGGUAAUACGGAGGGUGCAAGCGUUAUCCGGAAUCACUGGGUUUAAAGGGUGCGUAGGCGGUGUAGUAAGUCAGUCGUGAAAUCGCUGGGCUCAACCCAUGCAAUUGCGAUUGAUACUGCUACACUUGAAUGGGGUUAAGGCAGGCGGAAUGUGGCAUGUAGCGGUGAAAUGCAUAGAUAUGCCAUAGAACACCGAUUGCGAAGGCAGCCUGCUGGGCCUUUAUUGACGCUGAGGCACGAAAGCGUGGGGAGCAAACAGGAUUA